UGAUAUCCUUGGAUUCAAUGGACAAACUACUAGUAGCAACUAGACAUGUUUUUAUUUCCAAGAAUGCUUGUAAUGAGCUGGUCAAAAAAUUCAUAGGAUACAGGGUGCUAACAAUGGUUUCCAUUAAAUCCUAAUAAACGUACAGGGUGAGGGUAAAUCAAGUGACCACGAAACGUGAGGAAGCAGAACCCCAAUCACGCUUCUUUCUUUUAAGCUUGGAAAGGGAUGCAUUUAAACGUAUUAAAUGAACAAGGAAACAGAAAAUAAGAAGGACUGAAAGUGGAGAAGUGGAGCCCUUUAAUUUUCCUUCCUCUUGGGCGUGAAGGUGCAAUUUUCAGAAAAUACAUGCAAUCCAGAUUACACGGAUGCAUAAAAGGAAGGUUGCGGUGCGAUGUGUGGCUUAUCCCACUUAUUUCCUUUCAUCUGCAUUUACUAUUAAGAGGCAUUUCUCUUUUGUCAGCACAUGGAAUAAAACUCGAGCACGUGUAGUGAUCCUCUAGAUCGUCUGACAAAUGGGAGAGAAUUAAAGUUCAGGUUGAUGGUACCGAAACAAUAUCUACAAUGUUUGGUGGACUACAUUCUUGAUUUGCUGUCUUCGUCUUCACCUUGCAACAUUAUACAGUCAAUUUCCAAGUGAUGAGUGAGGGCAACUGAAGAUUUAUGUGAAUUCCACUGAAAUAAGAAAUUUUCUGCAUUGGCAUUCCUCUUGGAUUUGAUUUGCUUUUCACACCUGCAAACUUUG
This 742-nucleotide long non-coding RNA is filed under the name Agrilus planipennis (emerald ash borer). RNAcentral's name for it is "uncharacterized LOC108744536, transcript variant X1". The record is from RNAcentral. Lineage: Eukaryota; Metazoa; Arthropoda; Insecta; Coleoptera; Buprestidae.